ACGAACGCUGGCGGCGUGCUUAACACAUGCAAGUCGAACGGAAAGGCCCUGCUUUUGUGGGGUGCUCGAGUGGCGAACGGGUGAGUAACACGUGAGUAACCUGCCCUUGACUUUGGGAUAACUUCAGGAAACUGGGGCUAAUACCGGAUAGGAGCUCCUGCUGCAUGGUGGGGGUUGGAAAGUUUCGGCGGUUGGGGAUGGACUCGCGGCUUAUCAGCUUGUUGGUGGGGUAGUGGCUUACCAAGGCUUUGACGGGUAGCCGGCCUGAGAGGGUGACCGGCCACAUUGGGACUGAGAUACGGCCCAGACUCCUACGGGAGGCAGCAGUGGGGAAUAUUGCACAAUGGGCGGAAGCCUGAUGCAGCAACGCCGCGUGCGGGAUGACGGCCUUCGGGUUGUAAACCGCUUUCGCCUGAGACGAAGCGUGAGUGACGGUAAUGGGUAAAGAAGCACCGGCUAACUACGUG
This 467-nucleotide ribosomal RNA is filed under the name uncultured bacterium. Its description in RNAcentral is "partial 16S ribosomal RNA". It matches the Rfam family "Bacterial small subunit ribosomal RNA", at positions 29 to 507 of the family's 1533-position model. The record is from RNAcentral.